RNAcentral lists this long non-coding RNA (362 nucleotides) under Chloebia gouldiae (Gouldian finch). Its description in RNAcentral is "Erythrura gouldiae (Gouldian finch) lncRNA (ENSEGOG00005006907.1)". The record is from RNAcentral. Lineage: Eukaryota; Metazoa; Chordata; Aves; Passeriformes; Passeridae.
AUGAAUAUCCUUUUGGGCAGGAAAGGACACACAGAGGUUUCCAGGGCUGCACAAGGGAAGAACAGAAAUCAGCCAGCCAGUCAGUCCAAUUACAGCACAUGGAGACUACCGCUGUCUUUCAUGAAGGGCAUGAGUGAGAAAUGGAAAAAAAAACCUCUCAUUUGUGUGACAAGAGUUUCAGAGAGAAAAGAGAAUGAGACUGUAUCAGCAGGUGCCUCUGAAGGUGGCCCGCACAAGAAGCAGGAUCCUGACAGGCCUUCCCUAGCAAAUCAACUUCUAUCUGCUAACUGUGAGACUGGCCUCGCUGGGGAUAGUCUUGCUGCAGGGUCAGCAAAAUGGACAAAACAGCGGGUAUGCCGAUG